RNAcentral lists this ribosomal RNA (355 nucleotides) under uncultured Streptococcus sp. RNAcentral's name for it is "bacterial SSU rRNA". It matches the Rfam family "Bacterial small subunit ribosomal RNA", at positions 1027 to 1382 of the family's 1533-position model. Lineage: Bacteria; Bacillati; Bacillota; Bacilli; Lactobacillales; Streptococcaceae. The record is from RNAcentral.
AUCGGUGACAGGUGGUGCAUGGUUGUCGUCAGCUCGUGUCGUGAGAUGUUGGGUUUAAGUCCCGCAACGAGCGCAACCCCUAUUGUUAGUUGCCAUCAUUCGGUUGGGCACUCUAGCGAGACUGCCGGUAAUAAACCGGAGGAAGGUGGGGAUGACGUCAAAUCAUCAUGCCCCUUAUGACCUGGGCUACACACGUGCUACAAUGGUUGGUACAACGAGUUGCGAGUCGGUGACGGCGAGCUAAUCUCUUAAAGCCAAUCUCAGUUCGGAUUGUAGGCUGCAACUCGCCUACAUGAAGUCGGAAUCGCUAGUAAUCGCGGAUCAGCACGCCGCGGUGAAUACGUUCCCGGGCCUU